RNAcentral lists this ribosomal RNA (576 nucleotides) under uncultured bacterium. RNAcentral describes it as "partial 16S ribosomal RNA". It matches the Rfam family "Bacterial small subunit ribosomal RNA", at positions 355 to 920 of the family's 1533-position model. The record is from RNAcentral.
UGGGGAAUAUUGCACAAUGGGCGCAAGCCUGAUGCAGCCAUGCCGCGUGUGUGAAGAAGGCCUUCGGGUUGUAAAGCACUUUCAGCGAGGAGGAAGGUGGUGAGCUUAAUACGCUCAUCAAUUGACGUUACUCGCAGAAGAAGCACCGGCUAACUCCGUGCCAGCAGCCGCGGUAAUACGGAGGGUGCAAGCGUUAAUCGGAAUUACUGGGCGUAAAGCGCACGCAGGCGGUUUGUUAAGUCAGAUGUGAAAUCCCCGGGCUCAACCUGGGAACUGCAUUUGAAACUGGCAAGCUAGAGUCUCGUAGAGGGGGGUAGAAUUCCAGGUGUAGCGGUGAAAUGCGUAGAGAUCUGGAGGAAUACCGGUGGCGAAGGCGGCCCCCUGGACGAAGACUGACGCUCAGGUGCGAAAGCGUGGGGCAGCAAACAGGAUUAGAUACCCUGGUAGUCCAGCGCUGUAAAACGAUGUCGAUUUGGAGGUUGUGCCCUUGAGGCGUGGCUCCCGGAGCUAACGCGUUAAAUCGACCGCCUGGGGAGUACGGCCGCAAGGUUAAAACUCAAAGGAAUUGACGGGGUC